Molecule: ribosomal RNA, 775 nt
Filed under: uncultured Neocallimastigales
Lineage: Eukaryota; Fungi; Neocallimastigomycota; Neocallimastigomycetes; Neocallimastigales
Description: partial large subunit ribosomal RNA
Rfam family: Eukaryotic large subunit ribosomal RNA
Source: RNAcentral
UACGACUACAUAUCAGGCAUAUCAAUAAGCGGAGGAAAAGAAACUAACAAGGAUUCCCUUAGUAACGGCGAGUGAAGCGGGAAGAGCUCAAAUUUGAAAUCUUCAAGGUUCUACCUUGACGAAUUGUAGUUUAAAGAAGUGUUUUCUGUUAGAUGAGUAGCAAAAGUUCCUUGGAAUGGGACAUCAUAGAGGGUGAGAAUCCCGUAUUUGGUUAUUCAUUCUAGCUUUGUGAUACACUUUCAAAGAGUCGGAUUGUUUGGGAAUGCAGUCCAAAACUGGGUGGUAAAUUUCAUCUAAAGCUAAAUAUUGGCGAGAGACCGAUAGCGAACAAGUACCGUGAGGGAAAGAUGAAAAGAACUUUGAAAAGAGAGUUAAACAGUACGUGAAAUUGUCAAAAGGGAAGCGUUUGACACCAGUGUUGUUUUUCCGAAAAUCAAUUACGAAUGGCUUGAUUUUGUGUUGUAUUGACCUUAUCAGCUUUCUUCACUUUUUUCGAGUCUUUCUUAAUGCACUUUUCGGUUAACAAGUCAACAUCAAUUUCUUUUGUUGUAAAAGAGUAUUCGGAAGGUGGCUUUCUUUUCGGAGAAAGUGUUUAUAGCCCUAUACUUCUACAAUCGGAGAGAUUGAGGUCUGCAGCGUAGAUCCUUCGGGGUUAGAUACACUUGUGCUAAGUUGUAGCUUUUCAUAGACAACUCGUUGACUAUGUUUCGUCAUGCGGCUUACUCGCUUGUGCUAUUUUACCUACGCUUAGGAUGUUGAGUAGCGACAUACGCAC